Molecule: ribosomal RNA, 246 nt
Filed under: uncultured bacterium
Lineage: Bacteria
Description: partial 16S ribosomal RNA
Rfam family: Bacterial small subunit ribosomal RNA
Source: RNAcentral
CGACCGGCGCACGGGUGAGUAACACGUAUGCAAUCCACCUGUAACAGGGGGAUAACCCGGAGAAAUCCGGACUAAUACCCCAUAAUAUGGGCGCUCCGCAUGGAGAGUUCAUUAAAGAGAGCAAUUUUGGUUACAGACGAGCAUGCGCUCCAUUAGCCAGUUGGCGGGGUAACGGCCCACCAAGGCGACGAUGGAUAGGGGUUCUGAGAGGAAGGUCCCCCACAUUGGAACUGAGACACGGUCCAA